CGUUGUUGAAUUCAAGAUGGAAGAGAGCAUGAAAAAAGCUGCUGAAGUUCUAAACAAGCAUAGUCUGAGUGGAAGACCACUGAAAGUCAAAGAAGAUCCUGAUGGUGAACAUGCCAGGAGAGCAAUGCAAAAGGUGAUGGCUACGACUGGUGGGAUGGGUAUGGGACCAGGUGGCCCAGGAAUGAUUAAUAUCCCACCCAGUAUCCUAAAUAAUCCUAACAUCCCAAAUGAGAUUAUCCAUGCAUUACAGGCUGGAAGACUUGGAAGCACAGUAUUUGUAGCAAAUCUGGAUUAUAAAGUUGGCUGGAAGAAACUGAAGGAAGUUUUUAGUAUGGCUGGUGUGGUGGUCCGAGCAGACAUUCUUGAGGAUAAAGAUGGAAAAAGUCGUGGAAUAGGCACUGUUACUUUUGAACAGUCCAUUGAAGCUGUGCAAGCUAUAUCUAUGUUUAAUGGCCAACUGCUAUUUGACAGACCAAUGCACGUGAAAAUGGAUGAGAGGGCCUUACCAAAGGGAGAUUUUUUCCCUCCUGAGCGUCCACAACAACUUCCCCAUGGACUUGGUGGUAUUGGCAUGGGGUUAGGACCAGGAGGGCAGCCUAUUGACGCUAAUCAUUUGAAUAAAGGCAUUGGAAUGGGCAACAUAGGACCCGCAGGAAUGGGAAUGGAAGGCAUAGGAUUUGGAAUAAAUAAAAUGGGAGGCAUGGAGGGACCCUUUGGUGGUGGUAUGGAAAACAUGGGUCGAUUUGGAUCUGGGAUGAACAUGGGCAGAAUAAAUGAGAUGGCGCGUGGCAUGGGUGGAGGAUUUGAGAGAGACUUUGCCAGAAAUGAAAUGGGAAUGUCUCGAAGCUUUGGAGAGCCCCUUGGCAGAGGAAUGGAAAUCCUAAGUAAUGCACUGAAGAGAGGAGAGAUCAUUGCAAAGCAGGGAGGAGGUGGAGGCGGAGGCAGUGUCCCUGGAAUUGAGAGGAUGGGCCCCGGCAUUGACCGCAUUGGGGGUGCCGGCAUGGAGCGCAUGGGUGCAGGCCUGGGCCACGGCAUGGAUCGUGUGGGCUCCGAGAUUGAGCGCAUGGGCCUGGUCAUGGACCGCAUGGGCUCAGUCGAGCGCAUGGGCUCCGGCAUCGAGCGCAUGGGCCCGCUGGGCCUCGACCACAUGGCCUCCAGCAUCGAGCGCAUGGGCCAGACCAUGGAGCGCAUCGGCUCUGGCGUGGAGCGCAUGGGUGCCGGCAUGGGCUUUGGCCUGGAGCGUAUGGCCGCACCCAUUGACCGUGUGGGCCAGACCAUCGAGCGCAUGGGCUCUGGCGUGGAGCGAAUGGGCCCUGCCAUCGAGCGCAUGGGCCUGGGCAUGGAGCGCAUGGUGCCCGCAGGCAUGGGGGCAGGCCUGGAGCGCAUGGGCCCUGUGAUGGAUCGCAUGGCCACCGGCCUGGAGCGCAUGGGCGCCAACAACCUGGAGCGCAUGGGCCUGGAGCGUAUGGGCGCCAACAGUCUCGAGCGCAUGGGCCUGGAGCGCAUGGGCGCCAACAGCCUGGAGCGCAUGGGUCCCGCCAUGGGCCCGGCCCUGGGCGCUGGCAUUGAGCGCAUGGGCCUGGCCAUGGGUGGUGGUGGCGGUGCCAGCUUUGACCGUGCCAUCGAGAUGGAGCGUGGCAACUUUGGAGGAAGCUUCGCAGGUUCUUUUGGUGGAGCUGGAGGCCAUGCUCCUGGGGUGGCCAGGAAGGCCUGCCAGAUAUUUGUGAGAAAUCUCCCAUUUGAUUUUACAUGGAAGAUGCUAAAAGACAAGUUCAACGAAUGUGACGCACGUGGAGAGACACUGAGAGACCUGGAGGCAAACCUGAGGGCAGGGCCCCACAGUCCCAGACACCCGGCUGAUGGUCAGGGAUGCCCACCAGGACCGGCAGGCAGGCCCCCGAGCAUGGGCACGUGCACCAGCCCUGGCACAGGAAGUCCGUCCCAGGAGAAGCUGAAGGGCCUUCAGAACUUGGAGCUGUUCAACUUCGAGGAGUCACAGCAGCUGCGCUAACGGGAGCAGGAUUUUGAGUCGUUACCAGAGCUUGGCUACCUGGAUGGCUUCGAUGAUGGGGACCCUGCUCAACUCUGAGGCUGAGGGCAAUGGGGCAGGCAGGCGGGCAGGCCGGCUCCUGGGGCCAGGUGGGACACGUCCAAAGGGUGCCCAGAUCUCCCUGUUACCCUUCCCAGGAGAAGCUGAAGGGCCUUCAGAACUUGGAGCUGUUCAACUUCGAGGAGUCACAGCAGCUGCGCUAACGGGAGCAGGAUUUUGAGUCGUUACCAGAGCUUGGCUACCUGGAUGGCUUCGAUGAUGGGGACCCUGCUCAACUCUGAGACUGAGGCCAACAUGCUGGGGGACGAAGAUUCCGAGGAGGACUAGGGGGAGGAUGGAGGAAGAGGAGACAGAUGCUGAGUGUGGUCCUGAGAAGAGGAGGUGGAGAGGUUCAAGAUGGGGCCUUGUGGGCUACUAGGAGAACAGGAUCUUCAUCCAGAGAGCUGAGGGGAGCUGUGGGGAGCGGUGGGGGUACUACGCAGGGGAGGAGCACGAUCGGAAGAGUCCCCUGUUUCCAGAGGUGUUCAGCCUGCGGGGAAGGGGCGGGGGGUUGCCUCCGGUGCUCCAGAACGGGGGCGGGAUUGAAGCCUGAGCUGGAAGGGAGCAAGAUGCAGGAAGUAAAGCCAGGCCCCGAGGAGUGGCUGCCAGCAACUCGUGGGACUUCCAUACCCUGGAGGCUUGAACCUCAGGGUUCUGGUGACAGCAGUGUGGGACCAGAUUUUGAACUCUGGCCCCAGCCUGACUUCCCAGGAAGGAUAGGAAGAAGAGGACCUAUAUGGGGGAGAGGUGAGAAGGGAGGGAGCACAGGCUCUCCAGGGCUGGCCUUGACCCACCCUCCUCCUCAGAGCUGUGGCAGGGGGAGAAGGAGAAGUGGGCAGCCGAAGACAGUGAGGAGGAGGAGGACGAUGAGGCCUGAGCCCCGGCUUGCCAGAGUGCCCAGCCCUGGGGGCCCUGGCACCUCCCUUCUACUGCUGGGACUGCCCCACCGCCCUGUCACCUCCCUGAGAGUCAGUGCUGGCCUCAGGACCUGGGGGGCUCCAGCUGGGCGGGCACUCCUGACUCCUGGAAGUUUUAAAAUAAAACUGGAAACUUCCACCUCA
RNA transcript from Balaenoptera ricei (Rice's whale), 3150 nucleotides. It is a transcript of the gene named heterogeneous nuclear ribonucleoprotein M, with no coding region annotated. Lineage: Eukaryota; Metazoa; Chordata; Mammalia; Artiodactyla; Balaenopteridae. The transcript is spliced from 15 exons. The record is from RefSeq and is a predicted model, not a curated record.